RNAcentral lists this ribosomal RNA (393 nucleotides) under uncultured bacterium. Its description in RNAcentral is "partial 16S ribosomal RNA". It matches the Rfam family "Bacterial small subunit ribosomal RNA", at positions 523 to 918 of the family's 1533-position model. The record is from RNAcentral.
AUACGGAGGAUCCGAGCGUUAUCCGGAUUUAUUGGGUUUAAAGGGUGCGCAGGCGGGAGAUUCAGUCGGCGGUGAAAUUUUGCAGCUCAACUGUAAAAGGGCCUUCGAAACUGGUUUCCUUGAGUGUAGAUGAAGUAGGCGGAAUUUGUGGUGUAGCGGUGAAAUGCAUAGAUAUCACGAGGAACUCCGAUUGCGCAGGCAGCUUACUAAACUACUACUGACGCUCAGGCACGAAGGCGUGGGGAUCAAACAGGAUUAGAUACCCUGGUAGUCCACGCAGUAAACGAUGAUUACUAGCUGUUUGCGAUACAAUGUAAGCGGCUGAGCGAAAGCGUUAAGUAAUCCACCUGGGGAGUACGUUCGCAAGAAUGAAACUCAAAUGAAUUGACGGGG